Molecule: non-coding RNA, 389 nt
Organism: Biomphalaria pfeifferi
Lineage: Eukaryota; Metazoa; Mollusca; Gastropoda; Planorbidae
Source: the annotation of a GenBank genome assembly
UACAUUAAUUUUAAUUAAUGUUCAGGUAAUUUUUUAUUGAAUCAGUAGACUAUAGUCUAUACCUAGUAGUGUAAAUGAUCACAUAACCUACUCAACUACUGAAUUUUUUUUUGCUUAAUUGCGAAUGUAAAACUGUGGAAUUAGACAUUGCAUUUUUUCACAUUAAAUAGAACAGUUUUACAUUUUUGUCUAACUCACCCACAUAAGCUAGUGGGUAGCGUGUGAAAUUUUAAGAAAGUAAAGAUGCACAUGGCCAGAAUCAUUUCAGUGUGCAAGAGAAUUUUUUGUAAUUUUUUUUUCAUGUCCAAAGCAAUGGGUUGUAUAUUUUGUAAGAAUUUUAAAAACAUUCCAUUGCUCUAUAUCAACAGAGUUCGUAAACAGGUUGUCAA